Molecule: ribosomal RNA, 497 nt
Filed under: uncultured bacterium
Lineage: Bacteria
Description: partial 16S ribosomal RNA
Rfam family: Bacterial small subunit ribosomal RNA
Source: RNAcentral
GAUGAACGCUGGCGGCGUGCCUAAUACAUGCAAGUCGAGCGAACAGACGAGGAGCUUGCUCCUCUGACGUUAGCGGCGGACGGGUGAGUAACACGUGGAUAACCUACCUAUAAGACUGGGAUAACUUCGGGAAACCGGAGCUAAUACCGGAUAAUAUAUUGAACCGCACGGUUCAAUAGUGAAAGACGGUUUUGCUGUCACUUAUAGAUGGAUCCGCGCCGCAUUAGCUAGUUGGUAAGGUAACGGCUUACCAAGGCGACGAUGCGUAGCCGACCUGAGAGGGUGAUCGGCCACACUGGAGCUUAGACACGGUCCAGACUCCUACGGGAGGCAGCAGUAGGGAAUCUUCCGCAAUGGGCGAAAGCCUGACGGAGCAACGCCGCGUGAGUGAUGAAGGUCUUCGGAUCGUAAAACUCUGUUAUUAGGGAAGAACAAAUGUGUAAGUAACUAUGCACGUCUUGACGGUACCUAAUCAGAAAGCCACGGCUAACUACGUG